Molecule: ribosomal RNA, 279 nt
Filed under: uncultured bacterium
Lineage: Bacteria
Description: partial 16S ribosomal RNA
Rfam family: Bacterial small subunit ribosomal RNA
Source: RNAcentral
UGCCAGCAGCCGCGGUAAUACGGAGGGUGCGAGCAUUAAUCGGAUUUACUGGGCGUAAAGAGCGCGUAGGCCGAAGUGAAAGUCAGAUGUGAAAGCCCGAAGCUCAACUUCGGAAUUGCAUCCGAAACUUCAUUUCUAGAGGAUAGACGGAGAAGACGGAAUUCCACGAGUAGCGGUGAAAUGCGUAGAUACGUGGAAGAACACCGGUGGCGAAGGCGGCUCUCUGGUCCAUACCUGACGCUGAGGCGCGAAAGCGUGGGGAGCAAACAGGAUUAGAUA